This 455-nucleotide ribosomal RNA is filed under the name uncultured bacterium. Its description in RNAcentral is "bacterial SSU rRNA". It matches the Rfam family "Bacterial small subunit ribosomal RNA", at positions 340 to 786 of the family's 1533-position model. The record is from RNAcentral.
UACGGGAGGCAGCAGUGGGGAAUAUUGCACAAUGGGCGCAAGCCUGAUGCAGCCAUGCCGCGUGUAUGAAGAAGGCCUUCGGGUUGUAAAGUACUUUCAGUCGUGAGGAAGGUGUUAAGGUUAAUAACCUUAGCAAUUGACGUUAGCGACAGAAGAAGCACCGGCUAACUCCGUGCCAGCAGCCGCGGUAAUACGGAGGGUGCGAGCGUUAAUCGGAAUUACUGGGCGUAAAGGGCACGCAGGCGGUUAAUUAAGUUGGAUGUGAAAUCCCCGGGCUUAACCUGGGAAUGGCAUUCAAGACUGGUUAGCUAGAGUCUUGUAGAGGGGGUUAGAAUUCCAUGUGUAGCGGUGAAAUGCGUAGAGAUGUGGAGGAAUACCGGUGGCGAAGGCGGCCCCUGGACAAAGACUGACGCUCAUGUGCGAAAGCGUGGGGAGCGAAACAGGGAUUAGAUACC